RNAcentral lists this ribosomal RNA (471 nucleotides) under Shigella sonnei. RNAcentral's name for it is "bacterial SSU rRNA". It matches the Rfam family "Bacterial small subunit ribosomal RNA", at positions 292 to 755 of the family's 1533-position model. The record is from RNAcentral. Lineage: Bacteria; Pseudomonadati; Pseudomonadota; Gammaproteobacteria; Enterobacterales; Enterobacteriaceae.
CUGAGAGGAUGACCAGCCACACUGGAACUGAGACACGGUCCAGACUCCUACGGGAGGCAGCAGUGGGGAAUAUUGCACAAUGGGCGCAAGCCUGAUGCAGCCAUGCCGCGUGUAUGAAGAAGGCCUUCGGGUUGUAAAGUACUUUCAGCGGGGAGGAAGGGAGUAAAGUUAAUACCUUUGCUCAUUGACGUUACCCGCAGAAGAAGCACCGGCUAACUCCGUGCCAGCAGCCGCGGUAAUACGGAGGGUGCAAGCGUUAAUCGGAAUUACUGGGCGUAAAGCGCACGCAGGCGGUUUGUUAAGUCAGAUGUGAAAUCCCCGGGCUCAACCUGGGAACUGCAUCUGAUACUGGCAAGCUUGAGUCUCGUAGAGGGGGGUAGAAUUCCAGGUGUAGCGGUGAAAUGCGUAGAGAUCUGGAGGAAUAUCGGUGGCGAAGGCGGCCCCCUGGACGAAGACUGACGCUCAGGUGCG